GAGGGUAUAGCUAAGUGGUAGAGUGUGUGCCUAACAUGCACAAGGUCCUGGGUUCAAUCCCCAGUACCUCCA
RNAcentral lists this transfer RNA (72 nucleotides) under Camelus bactrianus (Bactrian camel). It matches the Rfam family "tRNA". From Rfam's summary of the family: Transfer RNA (tRNA) molecules are approximately 80 nucleotides in length. Their secondary structure includes four short double-helical elements and three loops (D, anti-codon, and T loops). RNAcentral also lists the same sequence under 1 other name. Lineage: Eukaryota; Metazoa; Chordata; Mammalia; Artiodactyla; Camelidae. The record is from Rfam by way of RNAcentral.